GCCUACGGGGGGCAGCAGUGGGGAAUAUUGCACAAUGGGGGAAACCCUGAUGCAGCGACGCCGCGUGAGUGAGGAAGUAUUUCGGUAUGUAAAGCUCUAUCAGCAGGGAAGAAAAUGACGGUACCUGACUAAGAAGCCCCGGCUAACUACGUGCCAGCAGCCGCGGUAAUACGUAGGAUGCGAGCGUUAUCCGGAUUUAUUGGGUUUAAAGGGUGCGCAGGCGGUCUGCUAAGUCAGCGGUCAAAGCCCGGGGCUCAACCCCGGCCCGCCGUUGAAACUGGCAGUCUCGAGUUGGAGAGAAGUAU
This 305-nucleotide ribosomal RNA is filed under the name uncultured bacterium. Its description in RNAcentral is "bacterial SSU rRNA". It matches the Rfam family "Bacterial small subunit ribosomal RNA", at positions 337 to 660 of the family's 1533-position model. The record is from RNAcentral.